This 25-nucleotide transfer RNA is filed under the name Trochulus hispidus complex sp. 476 LK-2014. RNAcentral describes it as "partial tRNA-Met". The record is from RNAcentral. Lineage: Eukaryota; Metazoa; Mollusca; Gastropoda; Stylommatophora; Hygromiidae.
CCACACAUGGUGACACCUUUAAGGA